This 71-nucleotide ribosomal RNA is filed under the name Xylaria sp. 5128. RNAcentral describes it as "partial 28S ribosomal RNA". Lineage: Eukaryota; Fungi; Ascomycota; Sordariomycetes; Xylariales; Xylariaceae. The record is from RNAcentral.
UUGACCUCGGAUCAGGUAGGAAUACCCGCUGAACUUAAGCAUAUCAAUAGGCGGGAGGUCGGAUCAUUAAA